CACAGCACCGGUUAGUCUCGGGAGCGGAAACGCAAAUCGGCGCCACGGGACUUGAGCUUACUCUGGUCCCAGACCGCCCUUCCGCAGAGAGGUCAACCCCGGGCCAAUGGGUCAGUUGGUUCAAUCAGGGACCCGAGGAAGACAGAAGCAGAAAAUGUGGAACUUUUAGAACCGGGUCCGGCCCAGCCGGCCUGAACCAGGCUCUGUGGGAAUUACCCAGAACCGCCCAGCCAAAGAUGGGAGUCACACUGUAUGAUCAUUAUAUUGCCAUUGUUAUAUCAUACUCUCCCAAGCGCUCAGUACAGUGCUCCGCACCCAGUAAGCACUGGAUAAAUAUGAUGGAUUAUCUCAAAUCGGAAUUCUGAGCCUCUCCUAGCACCUCCACUUGAACAGGCCUCAAGGACCCGUCCACUUCCUUUUGGCCGUUUGGAUGCUCAAGCAGUAUCUAUCUCAGAGUCCCAUUUCAUAGAACCAUCAAGUGGCCUCGGUGAAUGGAAUGGAAUUUCCCAAGAUUUGCUUACAGGGCUUUGAAAUGAUCUUCUCCCAACUCCUUGUAACGGUGGCCAAGCUCACUCUUCUGAGCAUCUCUGCGGAACAGUUCCCUGGAGUGAGCUGAGCUGAAGAGGAGGAGGACGGAGAUGAAGGUGACCCACUUCAUCUUGCCAGUUGUUGGGCUGGAGAGUGGAGCAAAGGUAGGACGACUGAAGGAAA
This is a long non-coding RNA of Tachyglossus aculeatus (Australian echidna), 711 nucleotides long. RefSeq lists it as uncharacterized. Lineage: Eukaryota; Metazoa; Chordata; Mammalia; Monotremata; Tachyglossidae. The record is from RefSeq and is a predicted model, not a curated record. The transcript has 3 exons.